Molecule: ribosomal RNA, 323 nt
Filed under: uncultured bacterium
Lineage: Bacteria
Description: bacterial SSU rRNA
Rfam family: Bacterial small subunit ribosomal RNA
Source: RNAcentral
GAUAGAACGCUGGCGGCAUCGCCGUAAUACAUGCAAGUCGAACGGACUAAAGAGAAAAGCUUGCGUUUUUUGGAAGUCAGUGGCGAACGGGUGAGUAACACGUAGGUAACCUGCCCAUGUGCCCGGGAUAAUUUCUGGAAACGGAAACUAAAACCGGAUAGGUAGGGAUCUCGCAUGAGGACCUUAUUAAAGGGGCUGCGGCCCUGAACAUGGAUGGACCUGCGGUGCAUUAGCUGGUUGGUGGGGUAACGGCCUACCAAGGCGACGAUGCAUAGCCGACCUGAGAGGGCGAACGGCCACAUUGGGACUGAGACACGGCCCAA